RNAcentral lists this ribosomal RNA (1855 nucleotides) under Stygiella agilis. Its description in RNAcentral is "SSU rRNA". It matches the Rfam family "Eukaryotic small subunit ribosomal RNA". The record is from RNAcentral. Lineage: Eukaryota; Jakobea; Jakobida; Stygiellidae.
UGUCUCAGUGUAAACACUAGAAUUGUGAAACUGCGAAUGGCUCAUUACAUCAGUGAUAAUCUCUUUGAUAGUGCGUGGCACAUGGAUAACUGUGCUAACCGUAGAGCUAAUACAUGCCCAGAUUCUUGGAUUUCGGUUCAAGAAGCAUUUAUUAGGUUCGAGCCAACCUGACUCAUUUUUUGUGUCAGUGCGGAUGAAUCAUAAUAACUUUUGCGAAUCACAGAGCCCCAUUUUGUGGCGGUGAUGCAUCAUUCGAAUCUCUGCCCUAUCAGCUUUUGAUGGUAGUGUCGUGGACUACCAUGGCGAUAACGGGUAACGGAGAAUUAGGGUUCGAUUCCGGAGAGGGAGCCUGAGAAAUGGCUACCACAUCCAAGGAAGGCAGCAGGCGCGUAAAUUACCCAAUCCUGACUCAGGGAGGUAGUGACCAUAAAUAACGACGCUCGGCCUUUGGUCGUGCGAUCGGAAUGCGAGAAGCUUUAAGCUCUUCUCGAAAGCAACUGGAGGGCAAGUCUGGUGCCAGCAGCCGCGGUAAUACCAGCUCCAGUAGCGUAUAUUAAAGUUGUUGCAGUUAAAAAGCUCGUAGUUGGAUGUCGGAAAGGACCUCAUGGUUUGUCCGGCACUCUUAAGGAGUGUUCCGUGACCCAGAGUGUUUUCCAUUUCCUAGACGACUGGAGUCGGGUCAGUUUGUGCAUUCACUUGCACGAUUGAUCGCUUUUCUCGCAAGAGAAAGAAACGGUUUCGGUCAUGUUACUGUGAAGAAAUCAGAGUGCUCAAAGCAGGCAUUUGUCCGAAUGGAUUAGCAUGGGAUAACCACCCUUGACCUCGGUCUUUGGGAGUUGGUUCAAAAGAUCGAUGGCGCUUGAUUAAUAGGGACAGUUGGGGGCAUUCGUAUUUCGAAGUCAGAGGUGAAAUUCUUGGAUUUUCGAAAGACGAACAUAUGCGAAAGCAUUUGCCAAGGAUGUUUUCAUUAAUCAAGAACGAAAGUUCGGGGAUCGAAGACGAUCAGAUACCGUCGUAGUCCGAACCAUAAACGAUGCCGACUAGGGAUUGGAAGAUGCGCUUUUGCCAUCUUUCAGCACCUUCCGAGAAAUCAAAGUUUUUGGGUUCCUGGGGGAGUAUGGUCGCAAGGCUGAAACUUAAAGGAAUUGACGGAAGGGCACCACCAGGAGUGGAGCCUGCGGCUUAAUUUGACUCAACACGGGGAAACUUACCAGGUCCAGACAUAGGAAGGAUUGACAGAUUGACAGCUCUUUCUUGAUUCUAUGGGUGGUGGUGCAUGGCCGUUCUUAGUUGGUGGAGUGAUUUGUCUGGUUAAUUCCGAUAACGAACGAGACCUUCACCUCUAAAUAGUGCGCAUCUCUUCCAUUCUUGCUUUUUGAAUUUGAUUCUUGCUUCGGUAAGAGUCCAGUUUCUGAGCUUGAACGAGGUGAUAAUCUCUUUUUGGAGAUUGUUUCGUACUUCUUAGAGGGACGAUGUGCGUUAGCACAAGGAAGUUGGAGGCAAUAACAGGUCUGUGAUGCCCUUAGAUGUCCUGGGCCGCACGCGUGCUACACUGACGGAUCCAACAAGUAUGCUUUUCUACCUGGACCGAAAGGUUUGGGAAAUCUAGCAAUGUCCGUCGUGAUGGGGAUCGACCCUUGUAACUUUGGUCGUGAACGAGGAAUUCCUUGUAAGCGCGAGUCAUCAUCUCGCGUUGAAUACGUCCCUGCCCUUUGUACACACCGCCCGUCGCUCCUACCGAUGGAUGGUCCGGUGAAAUCUUCGGAUGUUCUUUGUUUUUCCUUUUUUUCUUUUGAGAAAAAGGGCAGAGAACAGAAGUUGAUUAAACUUUAUCAUCUAGAGGAAGGAGAAGUCG